AUGACUUGAAAAAUUUUAACUUGUUUUGGUAUUGUGUGUUUCCUUGCUAUUUAAGUUUUUGGCAUAGAUAGUUACGUCAAAUUGGAGAGUUAAAAAUAGAGCAGCCUUGGGAAUUGAUUUGCAGCUUGCCAUACAUGUCUAAUAAAUGCAAUGUAUUAUAAUGAUUUUUAAAUGGGUGAAUCUUGACGCCAUGUCCCACCCACUGAAGAAAGAGAAAAUAUAUUAUGCUUUAUUUGUAUAUAAAUGAUUCUGAUU
This 255-nucleotide long non-coding RNA is filed under the name Olea europaea (common olive). Its description in RNAcentral is "long non-coding RNA (OEUR_LNC007640)". The record is from RNAcentral. Lineage: Eukaryota; Viridiplantae; Streptophyta; Magnoliopsida; Lamiales; Oleaceae.